Long non-coding RNA from Xyrauchen texanus (razorback sucker), 921 nucleotides. RefSeq lists it as uncharacterized. The transcript has 3 exons. Lineage: Eukaryota; Metazoa; Chordata; Actinopteri; Cypriniformes; Catostomidae. The record is from RefSeq and is a predicted model, not a curated record.
UGUGGCGAAUUCUUCUUGCAUGUGUCCGUGAUCAUGGUGGAACUAUCGGACACUUGCGUCUGCAAAACGCCCUGAUCCUGGUUGCAUUAAGAACCACAGGGCGAGGAACAGACAUUAAAAGAAGACUGUGAAGAAAGAGGAGGAGGAGGAGGAGGCACGGAGACGAAGAUGGUGCUGGUGGGGGGGGGGGGGGGGUUAUUCAAGCUUGUGAAAUGUUCCUCAGGCCUACGAGAGCCGAUUGCAUGAGCCGUGGUAACGUGGUAUGAUUUGCAUGCAGCAGACACGCUAAUUGUGUGUUUGCUAACAUACAACAUUCAGCGAGACGCUCUCCAGUCUGCAGACGGGGUUCACACACGCCUUCCAGACGUCCCGGAGGCCUCCUAUUGUUCCAGAGGCCCAGUGGAGCAGCCGGCGAGCCCAGCCGGGGUGCUGCAGUGCGAGGAGAGGGGGCAAUUUGAAUUAGAGACCGGGCAGAUGGGAUAGCGUAUCGGGACAGCUUCCCCUCGCAGUCCCGGAGUUACAGCUCCUGUGUUUUUUCCCUCUACAGGAAAAAAGAUGUCGUAGAAAGAUUCCUGCCUCCGUACACUGACCGUCCAAGCCUCGCAGAUGUGUAAGUGAUGUUGGGUGAAGUCUGAAAACCAGAUGCAAUCCUGUACAGAUGCAGAGAGACAAAAGCCUGGAGAUGAAGACGGAAGAUGUGGAGAUUCGAAAACCACUCAGAGCAUCUGUUAACGGGUGAUGUCAUAAUAGAAGUGGUGAAGUCCACACAUCAUAUAAUUGCUUUGUAUCACUAAUGUGUUCACACUGUAUCAUUUAGGGUGUUUUCAACCCUUCAACAGAACACAAACUAUGAUUUUUAGAAGGAUAUUUCAGCUCUGUAGGUCCAUACAAUGCAAGUGAAUGGUGGCAAAAAAAAAAUAA